Molecule: non-coding RNA, 77 nt
Organism: Potamilus streckersoni
Lineage: Eukaryota; Metazoa; Mollusca; Bivalvia; Unionida; Unionidae
Source: the annotation of a GenBank genome assembly
AACUACUUCGGUAGCCUAGUGGUUAGAGUCUUUGCCUCGGAUGCGGGAGGUCGUGGGUUUGAUUCCCGGUCUAGUCA